This 514-nucleotide ribosomal RNA is filed under the name uncultured bacterium. RNAcentral describes it as "partial 16S ribosomal RNA". It matches the Rfam family "Bacterial small subunit ribosomal RNA", at positions 29 to 523 of the family's 1533-position model. The record is from RNAcentral.
AGCGAACGCUGGCGGCGUGCUUAACACAUGCAAGUCGAACGUGAAAUGUAGCAAUACAGAGUAAAGUGGCGUACGGGUGAGUGACACGUGGGUAAUCUACCAAAGAGCGUGGAAUAACCGACCGAAAGGUUGGCUAAUACUGGAUAGUUCAAAUGAAAUAUAAUGUUUCGAUUGGGAAAGUGAGCUAGCAAUCGCCUUAACUUUUUGAUGAGCCCGCGUCUGAUUAGCUAGUUGGUAGGGUAAUGGACUACCAAGGCGACGAUCAGUAGCGGGUCUGAGAGGAUGAUCAGCCACACUGGAACUGAAACACGGUCCAGACUCCUACGGGAGGCAGCAGUGGGGAAUCUUGCGCAAUGGACGAAAGUCUGACGCAGCCACGCCGCGUGAGUGAAGAAGGCCUUCGGGUUGUAAAGCUCUGUCGGAAGGGACAAAAUCGUUUAAGGUUAAUAGCCUUAGAUCUUGAUGGUACCUUCAAAGGAAGCACCGGCUAACUUCGUGCCAGCCGCCGCGGUAA